GGAAAGGCACUCAGGUUGGGUAGAGCAUCGGACUCAUAAUCUGACGGUCGAAGGUUCGAAUCCUUCUCCA
RNAcentral lists this transfer RNA (70 nucleotides) under Mesorhizobium sp. B3-1-6. Its description in RNAcentral is "tRNA-Met". The stretch from base 14 to 70 matches the Rfam family "tRNA". From Rfam's summary of the family: Transfer RNA (tRNA) molecules are approximately 80 nucleotides in length. The record is from RNAcentral. Lineage: Bacteria; Pseudomonadati; Pseudomonadota; Alphaproteobacteria; Hyphomicrobiales; Phyllobacteriaceae.